UAUGGCUAUAUCAUGUUGAAACACCAAUUCUCUUCUGAUUACUGAAGUUAAGCACUGUCAAAUCUUGCCAGUACCUAGAUGGGUGACCACUUGGGAAUACCAGGUGCUGUAAG
This is a non-coding RNA of Acanthosepion pharaonis, 113 nucleotides long. The record is from the annotation of a GenBank genome assembly. Lineage: Eukaryota; Metazoa; Mollusca; Cephalopoda; Sepiida; Sepiidae.